GGGAAUGUGGCUUAGCAUUUAGAGUGCUUGCCUUGCAUGCAUGAAGCCCUAGGUUCAAUUCCUCACUACCA
This 71-nucleotide transfer RNA is filed under the name Dipodomys ordii (Ord's kangaroo rat). It matches the Rfam family "tRNA". Rfam says of the family: Transfer RNA (tRNA) molecules are approximately 80 nucleotides in length. Their secondary structure includes four short double-helical elements and three loops (D, anti-codon, and T loops). Lineage: Eukaryota; Metazoa; Chordata; Mammalia; Rodentia; Heteromyidae. The record is from Rfam by way of RNAcentral.